AGAGUUUGAUCCUGGCUCAGGAUGAACGCUGGCGGCGUGCCUAAUACAUGCAAGUCGAGCGAACGGACGAGAAGCUUGCUUCUCUGAUGUUAGCGGCGGACGGGUGAGUAACACGUGGAUAACCUACCUAUAAGACUGGGAUAACUUCGGGAAACCGGAGCUAAUACCGGAUAAUAUUUUGAACCGCAUGGUUCAAAAGUGAAAGACGGUCUUGCUGUCACUUAUAGAUGGAUCCGCGCUGCAUUAGCUAGUUGGUAAGGUAACGGCUUACCAAGGCAACGAUGCAUAGCCGACCUGAGAGGGUGAUCGGCCACACUGGAACUGAGACACGGUCCAGACUCCUACGGGAGGCAGCAGUAGGGAAUCUUCCGCAAUGGGCGAAAGCCUGACGGAGCAACGCCGCGUGAGUGAUGAAGGUCUUCGGAUCGUAAAACUCUGUUAUUAGGGAAGAACAUAUGUGUAAGUAACUGUGCACAUCUUGACGGUACCUAAUCAGAAAGCCACGGCUAACUACGUGCCAGCAGCCGCGGUAAUACGUAGGUGGCAAGCGUUAUCCGGAAUUAUUGGGCGUAAAGCGCGCGUAGGCGGUUUUUUAAGUCUGAUGUGAAAGCCCACGGCUCAACCGUGGAGGGUCAUUGGAAACUGGAAAACUUGAGUGCAGAAGAGGAAAGUGGAAUUCCAUGUGUAGCGGUGAAAUGCGCAGAGAUAUGGAGGAACACCAGUGGCGAAGGCGACUUUCUGGUCUGUAACUGACGCUGAUGUGCGAAAGCGUGGGGAUCAAACAGGAUUAGAUACCCUGGUAGUCCACGCCGUAAACGAUGAGUGCUAAGUGUUAGGGGGUUUCCGCCCCUUAGUGCUGCAGCUAACGCAUUAAGCACUCCGCCUGGGGAGUACGACCGCAAGGUUGAAACUCAAAGGAAUUGACGGGGACCCGCACAAGCGGUGGAGCAUGUGGUUUAAUUCGAAGCAACGCGAAGAACCUUACCAAAUCUUGACAUCCUUUGACAACUCUAGAGAUAGAGCCUUCCCCUUCGGGGGACAAAGUGACAGGUGGUGCAUGGUUGUCGUCAGCUCGUGUCGUGAGAUGUUGGGUUAAGUCCCGCAACGAGCGCAACCCUUAAGCUUAGUUGCCAUCAUUAAGUUGGGCACUCUAAGUUGACUGCCGGUGACAAACCGGAGGAAGGUGGGGAUGACGUCAAAUCAUCAUGCCCCUUAUGAUUUGGGCUACACACGUGCUACAAUGGACAAUACAAAGGGCAGCGAAACCGCGAGGUCAAGCAAAUCCCAUAAAGUUGUUCUCAGUUCGGAUUGUAGUCUGCAACUCGACUACAUGAAGCUGGAAUCGCUAGUAAUCGUAGAUCAGCAUGCUACGGUGAAUACGUUCCCGGGUCUUGUACACACCGCCCGUCACACCACGAGAGUUUGUAACACUCGAAGCCGGUGGAGUAACCUUUUAGGAGCUAGCCGUCGAAGGUGGGACAAAUGAUUGGGGUGAAGUCGUAACAAGGUAGCCGUAUCGGAAGGUGCGGCUGGAUCACCU
This 1540-nucleotide ribosomal RNA is filed under the name Staphylococcus aureus. RNAcentral's name for it is "16S ribosomal RNA". It matches the Rfam family "Bacterial small subunit ribosomal RNA". Lineage: Bacteria; Bacillati; Bacillota; Bacilli; Caryophanales; Staphylococcaceae. The record is from RNAcentral.